GAUGAACGCUGGCGGCGUGCCUAACACAUGCAAGUCGAGCGAAAAGACGAGGAGCUUGCUCCUCUGACGUUAGCGGCGGACGGGUGAGUAACACGUGGAUAACCUACUUAUAUGACUGGGAUAACUUCGGGAAACCAGAGCUAAUACUGGAUAAUAUAUUGAACCGCUUGGCUCAAUAGUGAAAGACGGUUUUGUUGGUUCGUUUAGACGGUUACGCGUCGCAUUAUCUAGUCGGUAAGGUAACGGCAUAACAAGGAGACGCUGCGUAGCAGACCUGAAAGGGUUGUCGGCCACCCUGGAACUGAGACACGGUCCACACUCCGACGGGAGGCAGCAGUAGGGAAUCUUCCGCAAUGGGGGAAAGCUUGACAGUGCAAAGCCGCGUGAGUGAUGAAGGUCUUCGGCUGGUAAAACUCUGUUGUUCGGGAAGAAAAAAAGUGUUAUUAACUAUGCACAUCUUGACGGUACCUAAUCAGUAAGCCACGGCUAACUACGUG
Molecule: ribosomal RNA, 497 nt
Filed under: uncultured bacterium
Lineage: Bacteria
Description: partial 16S ribosomal RNA
Rfam family: Bacterial small subunit ribosomal RNA
Source: RNAcentral